GAUGAAGAACGUAGCAAAAUGCGAUACUUGGUGUGAAUUGCAGAAUCCCGUGAACCAUCGAGUUUUUGAACGCAAGUUGCGCCCGAAGCCUUUUGGCCGAGGGCACGUCUGCCUGGGCGUCACGCAUCGCGUCGCCCCCCACAAUUCUCCGUAAAGGGAACGUGUGUUUUGGGGGCGGAUAUUGGUCUCCCGUGCUCAUGGCGUGGUUGGCCGAAAUAGGAGUCCUUUCGAUGGACGCACGAACUAGUGGUGGUCGUAAAAACCCUCGUCUUUUGUUUCGUGCUGUUGCUCGCAAGGUAAACUCUUUAAAAACCCCAAUGUGUCGUCUCUUGACGACGCUUCGACCGCGACCCCAGGUCAGGCGGGACUACCCGCUGAGUUUAAGCAUAUCAAUAAGCGAGGA
RNAcentral lists this unclassified non-coding RNA (403 nucleotides) under soil metagenome. RNAcentral's name for it is "partial contains 5.8S ribosomal RNA, internal transcribed spacer 2, and large subunit ribosomal RNA". The stretch from base 1 to 122 matches the Rfam family "5.8S ribosomal RNA", at positions 35 to 154 of the family's 154-position model. The record is from RNAcentral.